This 767-nucleotide long non-coding RNA is filed under the name Marmota monax (woodchuck). Lineage: Eukaryota; Metazoa; Chordata; Mammalia; Rodentia; Sciuridae. The record is from RNAcentral.
UGUGUUGACAGGUAAUGAUUGAAUACAGAUACAGGCUGUCAGGAAAAGGGGAGGAGAAAGGGAGCCCUUAAAAUAGGGGGUGGGGUUGCGGCUCAGUGGUGGGGCGCUUGGCUGUGUGUGCAAGCUGUGAGCAUUUUGAGCGCUUGAGCUGACUGGACUGUGUGUACGUGUGUGUCCUUUUCACUAGCUCUGCCUUUUGAUCCCACUCAGCACCUGAGAUGGGCGUGGACUUCCAAGAUGUAAGUUAAUCUGCUGACCAUAAGACAUCUGGAAGCUAGACUCCACCCCCUGAAACCUAACCCCCCACACCAUUGGGGUGGAAAAAGGGGCUUUAGAAGUCCUCCUUCUCUUUCUCUCUCUCUCUUUUUUUUUUUUUGUGUGUGUGUGUGUGGUGCUGGGGAUUGAACCCAUGGCCUUGUACAUGCGAGGCAAGUACUCUACCAACUGAGCUAUAUCCCCAGCCCCCUCUCUUUCUUUAUUUCUGCCUCCCUAGUGGGAGCUGGAGCUGGGGAGCCAUCGCUGAAGAAUCACGAGAAAGAGGUAUUUUCCCUCUAGGUGUGGUUACUUCGUGCCAGCCCACAUUCACCUGGAGUGAACCUGAACGACUGACUUAGUUGUGUGUUGUGGCAACUGGGUUUCAUUCUCAGCCCUGCAUAUAAAUAAAUAAAAUAAAGGUUCAUCAACAGCUAAAAAAAAUUUUUUUUAAUAGGAUAAAAUGGCUGGGUAUGGUGGCACAUGUCUGUAAUUUCAGCAGCUCCGGAGGCUGA